This 240-nucleotide unclassified non-coding RNA is filed under the name uncultured fungus. Its description in RNAcentral is "sequence contains ITS1". Lineage: Eukaryota; Fungi. The record is from RNAcentral.
GUAUUGAUUGCGUGUGAUCGCAAAAGUAAGACAUUCUACACAUUUCAUUAAAAGGGUGUCUAUGUAAAAACGUGAGCACCCCCCUCCUCCUCCGAGGAAGGAGACCCACGCGGUGAUGCACAAAGGGGUGAGAUGGAUAUUUGUAUGUGAGAGCACUCGGGCGUGCACGACAAAAGUCAGCGACAGCCCUCGUACCCCCAUCGUACGAUAAUGAUCCUUCCGCAGGUUCACCUACGGAAA